CUAAGGAUGGUUCUUCAGAAGCUUGCUUCUAUCGAACCGUUUUAGAAACAUCAGUGGCCAACGGUCGUCAGGAUCGUUGAGCUGCAUUGGCGGGAUUUCGCCGUCUUCGUUUCUCUUUCUUCGCGGACGAACACGCGCUGGGGCUGCAACCUUGCAGAAUCCCUGGUCCUUGACUGGAUAUGCGUUAGGGGCUUGUAGCUCAGUUGGUUAGAGCGCGCGCUUGAUAAGCGUGAGGUCGGAAGUUCAAGUCUUCCCAGGCCCACCACACUCAUCGAGUGAGCAUUCGUCUUCUGGUUACGGGGCCAUAGCUCAGCUGGGAGAGCGCGUGCUUUGCAAGCAUGAGGUCGUCGGUUCGAUCCCGUCUGGCUCCACCAGAUGGUUUGAUCAUCGACUGAUCGUGCACCUGAAAUCGUCCGCGAAACAUCACUUCGCACCCACUAGUCCGGAUGGACAGUGACGUGCGUGAUUUCUGACAUCGUAAAGAGGAGAUCGAUCCGAGUUGGAUCGUGCAGCAAGCAAUUGCUACGCGAUACUUCAUUAUCUCCGGAUCAUUUCGGCGCUCGUGCGUCUUCCAGGGUAGCUCACAAGGCUGCAUUGAAAGACAAGCGAGUUGUAAAUGAUCCUUUUAGCGAAGCUUGACCGCCUCGCUAUCGGAACGAUCUUACGAAGCAAGCUGGUCUUUCUAAUCAUUGUCCGGCUGCAGAUAGCGUUCAUCGAGGGCGCGUGCCGCAAGGCAAUUCUGCAGACAACAUUCUGCCGAGUGUGUGGACAUUGAUAAUGAGAGC
Molecule: transfer RNA, 785 nt
Filed under: Bradyrhizobium japonicum
Lineage: Bacteria; Pseudomonadati; Pseudomonadota; Alphaproteobacteria; Hyphomicrobiales; Nitrobacteraceae
Description: 16S-23S ribosomal RNA intergenic spacer
Rfam family: tRNA (bases 189-262)
Source: RNAcentral